RNAcentral lists this ribosomal RNA (386 nucleotides) under uncultured Campylobacterota bacterium. Its description in RNAcentral is "bacterial SSU rRNA". It matches the Rfam family "Bacterial small subunit ribosomal RNA", at positions 114 to 520 of the family's 1533-position model. Lineage: Bacteria; Pseudomonadati; Campylobacterota. The record is from RNAcentral.
UGUAUAGUUAAUCUGCCCUUCAGAGGGGAAUAACUACUGGAAACGGUAGCUAAUACCCCAUACUCCUUUUACCUUAAUGGUAAUUGGGAAAUGUCUUUUCGCUGAAGGAUGAGACUAUAUGGUAUCAGGUAGUCGGUGGGGUAAGAGCCUACCAAGCCAAUGACGCCUAGCUGGUCUGAGAGGAUGAUCAGCCACACUGGAACUGAGACACGGUCCAGACUCCUACGGGAGGCAGCAGUGGGGAAUAUUGCACAAUGGAGGAAACUCUGAUGCAGCAACGCCGCGUGGAGGAUGACGCAUUUCGGUGUGUAAACUCCUUUUAUAUGGGAAGAUAAUGACGGUACCAUAUGAAUAAGCACCGGCUAACUCCGUGCCAGCCGCUGCGG